AAAAAAAAAAUGUGUUAGAAUCUACCAAAGAGAUGAUUGAUCAGAUAUUGUGGGUAGAAGACAGUGGUCAAGGAGACUCGGUCUCUGGCUAGGGCAUUGGGGAUUUUGCCCAUGAACUCUGAUCUAGAAUCCAAGUGGAGGAGUGGGCUGCUGAGAGGGAGAUAAGUUCCGUCUGGGAUAAGCGAGUCUGAGGUGUGUGGGGGCUGUGCAGGUCGUGGUGAGUUUGAGGCUUAGGGUCAAAUGAGCACUAUAGCAAAAGUCAGGCCAUGUAUCCUAACCAGCUCAGGAAAGCAAUCCGGGUUGACUAGAAGUGGAGCUUAGUCUGCAGCCAAGCAGAGAGGGACAACAGCAAGGACACCCAUUAGACCUGCCUAAUUUAUGUUCUGGAACUUGGAAAAGGAUCCAGGGGUCUGAGAAGAUCACAGGCCAAAUUCAGCAGUGGCACUAGGAGCAUCAGCCAGGGGCACUUGGCCACUAACCAGAAGUCAACUCAGGAUGUAAAGGGAGCCCAACAGAUUUGAGAGCAGGUGUACUUAACGGACCUCAAGUCGCCAAGGCUGGGCCUCUUCUCUAAAACUCUCCCUAAGUCCAUCUUUCCUUGCCCAGGGGACCCUGGCUGGGCCCUUUCACAUUCAGGAUCCCAAUGGUCCCUCGGUAGUUCCCAUCGGACAGGAGAGGAAACCCAAGUCUGGGAGGCGGGGAGGCUGUGGGGCUGAAGCCGGGCUGGCUCCCGCAGGCCUGUCCCUGGGCCCAGCAUGGCCCUGGGAGGCAGGGACCAGUGUGACCUCAGGGGCCGGUGCGUUCGCUUUUGUGGUCUCCCUUUUUCUUUUUCCUUCUGAGGAACAAUUCCUUUUGGUCAAAUCACCUGAGUAAAAGUGUCUGCUCUUCAGAAACCUCCCCCUUCCCCCUGCAGGCAUGGACAUUCUGGGAGCUGCCUCCAGGGGUCACAGAGGGUCAGGCAGCUCUGUGGGGUGGCUCUCCUCCCCCAGCCCCACCCACUUCCCCUCGGCCUCCCCCUCCUGCCAAGCUCCAGCAGCCUCCAGCACCCACUGAGGUCCAGCCUCCCCUUGAGGCCUCUCUGCCUCCCUUUUGCCAUUCAGCUCAAAUGAUGGGGAGCAGGAGGUGAGAGAGAAGAAGAGGCCGGGGCAGCCUCUGAAAUGGAACAGCACAUACCGUGUGGUCCCCUCUGUCACCUUCCAUGUGUCAGUAACCACAGAGAGAAGGGACGUGCCAGGCUGCAGGCUACCGUGCAGAGAAGGAGAGGAGGAGGAGGUGAUGUCACCCAGGAAUGAAGCAAGCAGGCUGCAGAUAACAUCGCCCAGAGGCUGCUGCAGGCGAGCCUUUGGUGUGUGCUGGUGGGUGUGCCCGGUGAGGUCCCCGCCGCGUCCUGCCGCAGCUCCAGGUAGAGAGAUUGCUAACAGCGCAGCAGUCGCUCCCCUGCGGUCGGACAACUGUCUGUGGAGGCAACACCGGAUGGCAAACUGCUAACCGCAGCCACAUGGCGUCCUCCUGGAAGAUACAGCCUGUUCCCCUGCGACAGGCACCUGCAGACCUGCUCCCCCAACCCUGCUGAGGGGCCAACGCUGUGGCAUUCUUCCCCAUCCCCAGGGGUGCCAUGGAUAGUUGUCCAAGAUGAGAACUGCGCAACUGGAGAGGGCACGGUUUAUUUUGUCAGGCCGAGGGGCUGUGCAGGGUGGCCCUGCCACUUCCCUUUUCUAAAUUACUUCUCAUUCCCCUUCUCCGCCUAGAAUUAUCUGUUUGACUUGCCCUUGAUAAAUUUGUCCUCACAAAAAAACUCCCCCCCUCCACUGAGGCUUCUUCUUUGACCACCUCCCUCCCCCUAUUCAUUUAUUUUCUUCAUUCAUGGAACAAAAAGUACUGAGUCUGUCCAAGUUACCGCGGGGGCUGGGGACGUCACUUAAUGUAGAGAGAUUGCCCUACACACGUAAGGCCCUGGGUUCCAUCCCCUGCACGACAAAAAUAAAAAUAAAAUAGUAAAAUAAAAUAACAGAUCACUGUUUUAGGCCAGGCACCAGACAGGCAGGGCCUCCCCGAGCUCUGCAGUUCCCCUCCUUGUUGAAGGAAGAAACGGUAAAGAAAUAACUUGAUGCCACCAAGGAAAACAGAGCCAAGCCAGCCGUGGGUGACGGGGCUCAGCUUCACCAAGGACGCUCUGGACAGGCUUCUCCUGAGGAGGUGGCCUCUGAGUGGAGGCCCGGAGGCAGGGAAGGAAGGAGCCUUCCCAGCAGAGCCCCUCCCAUUGGGCACCCAAUGCCAAAGAAAGUUCUAGAACCCAGCUGGGCUCUGCCAGGAACCUGAGGCAUGGCCUGGGGCCCUGGCUUCCCAGCCGGGGUGUCCAGUUUCCUCCUUGAUAAACUGGAGGCCUCACUGCCUGGCCCUGGGAGGGCACUUGCGGCAAGUUCUCUCACCAGUGGGCAAGAGGAGCUUCACAACAGGGGCCUGAGUGGAAAACCCAGCUCAGUCACCCACCCACGGGCUGUGUGAGCCCAGGCAGGUUCCUUAGCCUCUCUGAGCCAGUUUUUUGCCCUAUAAAAUGCCAGGUUGUUGUGGAGGAUUAAAUGAAGGUGUGGCCAUGAAAUCACCUCG
Molecule: long non-coding RNA, 2607 nt
Organism: Marmota flaviventris (yellow-bellied marmot)
Lineage: Eukaryota; Metazoa; Chordata; Mammalia; Rodentia; Sciuridae
Source: RefSeq, a predicted model, not a curated record